This 380-nucleotide long non-coding RNA is filed under the name Gossypium barbadense (sea-island cotton). RNAcentral's name for it is "long non-coding RNA (GBAR_LNC017350)". The stretch from base 81 to 217 matches the Rfam family "MIR7502 microRNA precursor family". The record is from RNAcentral. Lineage: Eukaryota; Viridiplantae; Streptophyta; Magnoliopsida; Malvales; Malvaceae.
UUGAAUUUCAUUUUGACUCCUCUAUUAAAAAAUAGAUAAAUUAGUCUUUAUACGUUAGAUCAAAGAGUAAAUUAGUCUUCUAUUAAAAAUUUUAUCCAUUUCUACUAUUAAAAACUAGUCCCUAUAUGUUAGCAUGAGGUACACAUGGCACGCUACAGUUUGGUUCAUCUGUCAGCCAUGUUAGUUUUUAAUAGUAGAAAUGAGUGAAAUUUUAACAAAAAUGACCAAUUUGCUCUUUGAUCUAAUGUACAGAGACUAAUUUAUUCAUUUUUUUAAUAGAGAAAGCAAAAUGCAAUCUGACACUUAAUACAGGGGCCUCCAUGAUAUUUUUACCCAUAAACAUAAUUAUAAUUACAAAUACAAAUAAUAUACAUAAUAAU